ACGGUAUUAUGUAAUUCUGUAAUGGGUGCAAGCAAGAAAUUUCUCAAAAAAAAAAAAAAAAAGGAAUACAAACAAAUUAGAACAGUUUAUUAAACUAAACAAAAGCAAAUUAACGAGAAGAAAUAAAUAGUACAUGACAAACAAUAAUGGAUCAACUCCAUAAUACCAUCUCAUAAAUUGAACACAAAAUGAAAUACACAGAAACAAUUACUACUACCACCACCACACCCAAAAACAUAAUGAUACUUCAACUCUCCCAAACCUGUGUUUGUGUGUAUAUAUGUAUAUCUUAAUCAAGGACUGGUUGUAGCAGGAGGAGGUGAGAGGAGGGGGAUAGAGGGAAUUGUAGUUGGGAUNNNNNNNNNNNNNNNNNNNNNNNNNNNUGAUGAAGUGAUAAAGAGAACCAAGAUGAAGAAACUACGCGAAGAGGCCAUGAUCAUGCAAUUAAACAAGUAUAAAAACAAUCUUUGGAAUAAGAGGCUAAUUUUAAGGGUUAGAAGUUUAAGUUUAGUUUGUGUGUGGAGGAAGUGAAGGAGGUAUUGGGUUUAUAUAAAAAGAUAAUUGAUUGUUUAUAAUUAAAAUUUCAGUAUAUCUACAUGGAGUUGUUCACCUUCUUACCCAUUUUUUUUUUUUUUGAAAUGCUCUCAUGUUUG
This 653-nucleotide long non-coding RNA is filed under the name Carica papaya (papaya). RNAcentral describes it as "long non-coding RNA (CPAP_LNC009204)". The record is from RNAcentral. Lineage: Eukaryota; Viridiplantae; Streptophyta; Magnoliopsida; Brassicales; Caricaceae.